RNAcentral lists this transfer RNA (73 nucleotides) under ANME-2 cluster archaeon. Its description in RNAcentral is "tRNA-Gly". It matches the Rfam family "tRNA". Rfam says of the family: Transfer RNA (tRNA) molecules are approximately 80 nucleotides in length. Their secondary structure includes four short double-helical elements and three loops (D, anti-codon, and T loops). Further hydrogen bonds mediate the characteristic L-shaped molecular structure. tRNAs have two regions of fundamental functional importance: the anti-codon, which is responsible for specific mRNA codon recognition, and the 3' end, to which the tRNAs corresponding amino acid is attached (by aminoacyl-tRNA synthetases). tRNAs cope with the degeneracy of the genetic code in two manners: having more than one tRNA (with a specific anti-codon) for a particular amino acid; and 'wobble' base-pairing, i.e. permitting non-standard base-pairing at the 3rd anti-codon position. Lineage: Archaea; Methanobacteriati; Methanobacteriota; Methanomicrobia; Methanosarcinales. The record is from RNAcentral. RNAcentral also lists the same sequence under 1 other name.
UGCGGCUGUAGUUUAGUGGUAUGACAUGAGCUUCCCAAGCUUAUAACCCGGGUUCGAAUCCCGGCAGCCGCAU